AAUAGAUACCCCCGGUAGUCCACGCCGUAAACGAUCGAGUGCUAAGUGGUUAGAAGGGGUUUCCGCCCCUUUAGUGGCUGCAGCUAACGCAUUAAGCACUCCGCCUGGGGAGUACGGCCGCAAGGCUGAAACUCAAAGGAAUUGAUGGGGGCCCGCACAAGCGGUGGAGCAUGUGGUUUAAUUCGAAGCAACGCGAAGAACCUUACCAGGUCUUGACAUCCUCUGCCAACCCUAGAGAUAGGGCGUUCCCCUUCGGGGGACAGAGUGACAGGUGGUGCAUGGUUGUCGUCAGCUCGUGUCGUGAGAUGUUGGGUUAAGUCCCGCAACGAGCGCAACCCUUGAUCUUAGUUGCCAGCAUUCAGUUGGGCACUCUAAGGUGACUGCCGGUGACAAACCGGAGGAAGGUGGGGAUGACGUCAAAUCAUCAUGCCCCUUAUGACCUGGGCUACACACGUGCUACAAUGGAUGGUACAAAGAGCUGCGAACCCGCGAGGGUAAGCCAAUCUCAUAAAGCCAUUCUCAGUUCGGAUUGU
This 533-nucleotide ribosomal RNA is filed under the name uncultured bacterium. Its description in RNAcentral is "bacterial SSU rRNA". It matches the Rfam family "Bacterial small subunit ribosomal RNA", at positions 777 to 1301 of the family's 1533-position model. The record is from RNAcentral.